This 348-nucleotide ribosomal RNA is filed under the name Triticum aestivum (bread wheat). RNAcentral describes it as "partial small subunit ribosomal RNA". Lineage: Eukaryota; Viridiplantae; Streptophyta; Magnoliopsida; Poales; Poaceae. The record is from RNAcentral.
AUGCAUCCUUCUCGAUUAAGGACGACAUUCCGGGAGGAUAGGUGGCUUGGAAAUGCCACACUCCGGGAACAAUAUCCGGCUCUAUACAACAUUGUGCGUCACAAGGGUGAUACUAUCGCCAGUGUAAUGGAAUCAUUUCUGCCAAAUGUGACGUUCAGAAGAGAUUUAAUUGGACCCAGAGUCCAAUCGUGGUACAUCCUGCUUCAACGGUUGUCCACGGUGCAAUUAUCACAUGGGUCUGAUGUAUUUCGAUGGAACCUACAUGGGAAUGGAAAAUUCUCAGUGGAUUCUAUGUAUAGUGCAUUAAUCCAAUCUGCUGUGCCAGUUGAUAAUAAUAAGAAGAUCUGA